RNAcentral lists this ribosomal RNA (506 nucleotides) under Pterygioteuthis sp. HJ-2017. RNAcentral's name for it is "partial small subunit ribosomal RNA". It matches the Rfam family "Bacterial large subunit ribosomal RNA", at positions 1817 to 2600 of the family's 2925-position model. RNAcentral also lists the same sequence under 1 other name. The record is from RNAcentral. Lineage: Eukaryota; Metazoa; Mollusca; Cephalopoda; Oegopsida; Enoploteuthidae.
GUCUCUUUGUUUUUUAUACAUAAAGAGUCGGGCCUGCUCGGUGAAUAAAAUUUUUUUAACAGCUGCGGUAUUUUAACUGUACUAAGGUAGCAUAAUAAUUUGCCUUAUAAUUUGAGGCUAGAAUGAAUGGUUUGACGAAGGUUAAUCUGUCUCUAUCCUAAUUGUUAGAAAUUAAUUUUUAAAGUGAAAAAGCUUAAAUUUUUUAAAGGGACGAGAAGACCCUAUUGAUCUUGUAAUUUAAUCAAUACUCGUUUUAAAAAUUUGAGUACAUUAUAAAUUUUGAUUGGGGUGAUCAAGGAAUAAAAUAAUAACUUCCUUAGAAUAUUUACUGGUAAGUAAAUUAACCAAUAAUAUUGCUUAUAAUAAAGUUACCAUAGGGAUAACAGCGUAAUUUACUUUGAGAGUUCUUAUCGAAAAGUGAGAUUGCGACCUCGAUGUUGGAUUAAAGUAACCUUAAGGUGCAGCAGCUUUAAUUGGUAAAUCUGUUCGAUUUUUAAAACUUUACA